Molecule: long non-coding RNA, 943 nt
Organism: Drosophila montana
Lineage: Eukaryota; Metazoa; Arthropoda; Insecta; Diptera; Drosophilidae
Exons: 2
Source: RefSeq, a predicted model, not a curated record
AAACGCGAUAGCGAUCCGAAAUGCCUUCGACAACCACUAAAUUGUUGCACUGCACCUACCCACCCUCACUAGCAACCACUCAGGUGGCUUAGACUGAAUAGAAGUCUAUCGACCCAACGGAGCGUUUAUCAUUUUAACAGCCGGCAAUUCGGGGAUUGAUUGCAAGCGAUUUAAACAGCCAAGCAAUUUCCUUCCCCUUCCUCAUGAAACAACUCACAUACCUGUUAAUUCCAAUGCCCAACCGAACAGUCAGUACUCGAUACGAAGACCUGUCUCUAACGAACAGGAAACGAAAAACCAGAUUUCAAAAUUGAUGUGAAUUUGAAGCGAAAAAUACAAUUCAUUCUUAGUAGCUGACUGAAGAGUCUAAGGCCCUGAAAGCGACUGGAAGGAGCAUCAGAGAAACUUGCUGCUCCUCGAGUGGGCAUUUGGCAGGUGCGAAACUGACAGACAUCCUCUGGGAGAAGGAGACUGAGAGCAGGAGGGUUGGGGAGACUGUUUAAAGAAUUUUCAUGCGAAAGCCAAAAUCAGUUGUGGCAAAGGUGUGAGUCUCUCGUAACCACGAAGCAGCACCAAUUGGUUUUCCAUGCUGAGCGAAAGGACUACCCGCAAGGGGCGAGAUUGUACUGCAUUUAUGCCCAUUGUGCGAAAGACUUCCAUUCUGUUGCCUCUUUUCUGUUGAGAAUUCUCAAUUGUGAACGGCAUUGGCAUUGAGCCUUGACAGGAGGAUUUCUGCUUUCAAUUUGACUCAGAAGAGCAUACAAUAAACGGAUUUGCGGAUAAUAAGCAUAUAGAGGAUAAGAAGGCACAACAGGUUGGCCAGGUGAUUUAUAGAUAUGUUGCGAAUUUUCACACAGCUUGUUGUAUGUUGAAAAUCUGGUGAUUACCUAUGUAUAGUUAAUUAGCUUAGCUCUGAUUCAUAUUAAAUUUUAAAUUUGAGUAA